Molecule: long non-coding RNA, 121 nt
Filed under: Numida meleagris (helmeted guineafowl)
Lineage: Eukaryota; Metazoa; Chordata; Aves; Galliformes; Numididae
Description: lncRNA (ENSNMEG00000017640.1)
Source: RNAcentral
UACCAUCAAGCCAUAAACUGCCCCAACAACAUCUCCUGGCUGGCUAAUGGCACACCUAAUAGACUGAGUAAGACGCACAAGAUUCCAGAGUAAUUGCUCAGAGGUGACUUCAGGCAGGUGA